GAGUUCCGAUACGAUCACCGAAGUUAAGCCACAUCCACCCAGGUCAGUAGUUAGAUGGGUGACCGCUUGGGAAUACCAGGUGCGGUAAG
RNAcentral lists this ribosomal RNA (89 nucleotides) under Acanthosepion pharaonis. The record is from RNAcentral. Lineage: Eukaryota; Metazoa; Mollusca; Cephalopoda; Sepiida; Sepiidae.